RNAcentral lists this small RNA (1436 nucleotides) under Cryptococcus neoformans H99. RNAcentral's name for it is "Cryptococcus neoformans var. grubii H99 hypothetical RNA". The record is from RNAcentral. Lineage: Eukaryota; Fungi; Basidiomycota; Tremellomycetes; Tremellales; Cryptococcaceae.
CUCGAAACCACCUUCAAACCGGCUUUCUCCUACCCAUCAUGGAGCGAUAUCACCAAGCGAUAUUGAGCCAAUUGUCAUGCAAUUGAGCGAGCAAUCGAGGGCGUAUUGGACUGCCAUCACACUCAUCUUUCUUCUCUAGACGCAUCAAUACCUUCGACGGCAUCGAUAGGGGUGAAAUGGCAACCGCAGUAACCACUCACGACCCCAAACUUUUCAGCAUGUAAAUGACCCUACUGCAACUUAUCGGCACCGGUCUGAGAUGGGCAUGUACUAUCCUCCUCCCAGGGGGCUCGCCAGGGAGACCUCUCGGUCCCCUCUUCUUCUCCUUACGCUUCCACGCUUACCGAACUUCUCCUACACCUCGGAUCCCAUCGUCAAAUGAAUGCGUAAGCACCGCACCUACCCCGCCUGUCACCAUUCCAACCAUUUGGCUCAUGAAGAACUCUGCCGCGGUCGACGUCCUCAUUACCAUAGCCGACACAAUGGGCUCACAUAUCUCCUCUGUACAUCCCUCCAAGGGAUACCCAAUAGUAUUGUAACUUUGGAACCCCACAUUGAAGAAGGGCAACGAAGGAAUGUUGUCAGAAUCUGCAGAGCAACUGAAUAGAUCAUGUCGACUACGAUCUCAAGAUUUACUCUCUAUACCAACAUGGUACACAGUUCACCACUACUCGUACUAAUUGUCGCGAAUCGGAAGACACUCUUUGACUUCGCGCGGCGCCGGUGCCUCGGUUCUCUCCAAAUCAGGGCAAGCAAGGGUAGCUCUAUUGUUUGCCGGCGGGACAUUCAAGCCCUUGGUUAUCUCUAGCGAUGGUCUGUUGGAGGAGAAAAGUGAAGGGGAAGUUAGCCGACGGAAGAGUUAGCUGGGAAAGGUAGGGGAGAGCAGCUGAUAGUGAGGAUGUAUCAGAUGCUGCAAAAAUUCAAAGGACUGCAGAAGCGGGAAGUUGGCCGGGGGAAUGAGGAGAGGAAAGUGUAACGAUAGGUUUCUUACAUAACUUUAUCAGAUGAUAAAUUACGAAAGAGGCGAAAAAGAUAAAGCGAAAAAAAGCAUAAAAAUUAUGUACGCAUUUCUCUUUUUUUUUUUAAUUUCCAUCAACACUGUCAUUCAUUUAUAGCACACAGAAUAAUCUAGCAGUGGAAGAACGUGGAGCGGGAGAAUUGUGCACAUAGAACGAAAGAUGAUUUGCUUAUCAUUUAUUUUUAGUUCGGACCUAUGAUAUAGCAUACAUAAUAAUUAUAGUGCCAAUUUUUGCCAUGCUGAAUCAUACGCUUGAUCAUAUUUACCAGCAAGUAUAUUUGAGCGCCAAGCAAAAGAAGAAGAAAAGGUAAGAUGUCCGGAGAGCUGCAAUCAAGUUAUUGUUCAGGCGAUCCGCUACGGUGGAUCUCAACGUUAAUGGGGGAAACGCUCGAAACAAAUGGAGAAAUAGACUAACAUA